CCCUGUCCGCUCCCCUGCAUGUGGUGGCGGCGCUGGGGCCGCCCGGGGGGGGCUCCGUGUUCCUCAUGGAGCAGCUGGCGGGAUCGGGCUGCAGCUUCCCCGGCAGCCCUGGGCUGUGGAUGUUGAGAUGCCCUCACCCGGACUGGCCCGACCGCGAGCUGCUUCUGCUGCACGCCGGAGGAUUCCUUGGGGGCGAGGAACCGGAGGUAACGAGCGGGGUCCGGGGUGGGGCGGUCCCGAUCCCCCGCCCCACUGAGCGACCCCCAAUACCCCCCCCCCACACCCAAUUCGCGUGCUGGGUGAUGGCAGUGGUGAUGGCAAUGGUGAUGCACAGGAACAGCUCGAGCUCCUCACCUACGCCCAGAAGUUGCCACACCAUCUGCGCCUGCUGGAGGAGGAGGAGGAUGAAGAAGAUGAAGACCAUCUGCUGCGCUUCGUGCUGCCGCCAUUCGUCUGGAGCCUGUGCAGCACAGCCCAGGCCCCUGAGGAUGAAGAGUUGUUGGAGGAUGAGGACCACAACCUGGAGCCAGCACUGGCCGGCCCCCCAGGUGCACUGUGUCCCCAGUUGCCAUGUCCCCAGCCCCCAUGUCUCUGCACCCCUCGAUCCUCACAGCCACCUCUUCCACUCCUGCCUCUAUGUCACCAACUGUCUCUCUGUCCCUACAGGCCCCGUGGCGCGCUGUAUCCUGACGCUGUUCCCUGUGCAGAAGCUGUUCCGUGUGGAUGACAGCAGUGUUGAGGGCCUAACCCAGCUCUGCACCCACCUGCUGGGCUGUGAUCCCAAAACAGAGCCUGGAGGGGCAGUGGUGGGCGGUGCCUGUGAGUAG
This 827-nucleotide long non-coding RNA is filed under the name Chrysolophus pictus (golden pheasant). Its description in RNAcentral is "lncRNA (ENSCPIG00010002590.1)". The record is from RNAcentral. Lineage: Eukaryota; Metazoa; Chordata; Aves; Galliformes; Phasianidae.